Molecule: ribosomal RNA, 346 nt
Filed under: Creaserinus burrisi
Lineage: Eukaryota; Metazoa; Arthropoda; Malacostraca; Decapoda; Cambaridae
Description: partial 12S ribosomal RNA
Source: RNAcentral
UAGUACACUUAAAUUUAAUUUAUAAACACUAGGAUAUUAAAAGUUAUGUUCUUAAAAUUUAAAAAAUUUGGCGGUGUUUUAGUCUGGUUAGAGGAACCUGUAUUAUAAGCGAUACUACACGUAUUAUUUUACUUGUUUUUGUAAGUCAGUUUGUAUACCGUCAUUAUAAGAUAAUUUGGGAGAGAAUAUUAUUGGAAUCAUAUUAUUGAGUAUAUUAGAUCAAGGUGCAGCUUAUAAACAAGUAGGUAUGGGUUACAAUAAAGUUAAUUUAUAUGAAUUAAGUGUUUAAAUAUAUUUAUGAAGGAGGAUUUAAUUGUAAGAAAGGGAGUAGGGAGAUUUUUUGAUA